UUUCCGUUUCACUCCGGAUUCUUGCUGCUGCUUCGUGGUCUUCAUGCUUCUGUUAAACAUGGCUUAUUUUAAAAUCCUUCUGGUUUUGUUUCUAAUUUCUGAGUUAACAGCUCUUCAGCAGGAUGUUCAGGCAAAACCUGGAGCAUACGUCACUCUUCAGUGUGAGAUUUCCACAGAUGAAAUAAUCUCAGUGCUGAAGUGGAGCAGAGCUGACCUGAACACAGACGGCUACGUCUACUUCUACAGGAACAAACGAUUCUAUGAAAACUACCAACAUCCAUCUUUUCAUGGCCGAGUGAAGCUGAGGGACCCAGAGAUGAAGGAUGGAGACGUUUCUCUGAUUCUGAAGAACGUUGCGUUUAAUGACACUGGGAUGUAUGAGUGUCACAUAGCUGUGAGGAACCCUGUGAGAAGUAAAAGAGUUCACACUGAGAUCAGUCACUUCAUCAACUUCACAGUCACAGGUGAAACACAUGAAAGCGUGUUGGAGAAAACAGUCAUGGAAAAACGAGGUGCAGAUGGAAACAUGGAUGAUGCUGAAAGGGUCGGAUCUCCAUCUCUUCAGGUUGUUGUUCCUGUUGCUGUUUUUGUUGCUCUUGUUGCCGUUGCUUUUGGGGUACACCGAAAAACUCAUCAACAUAAGAAGCAACAUCCAGUCAAGCUUCCUACUGAAGACUCUGCUGAAGUGUAAUGAAGCUGCUACAGAAACAUAUAAGCUUUCUUUAUGAAAACUAAAGUACUGAAAAGCACGUUGUUACAGCAUUAACACAUUUUAUUACAUUUAUUGAUAUACAGCUUUUAACAAAUUUAUUAAACCACAUUCGUUAACCAAGAAAAACCACCCAGCAUCACAAACAGCUGAAUUCACCUUCAGAAUAUUCACAUCUAAUCCUAAAGUAUGAGCGUAAAUGCAUUCACACAAACACACAUACUGCAGGCCACCAUCUCCAGUCUACUUCAGUUUUAGUCUUUUUCUGGUCUGAGUAAUUUUACACUUAACGUCAGUAUUAUUAUUUUUCUUAUUCUUCCAUUUUGUUUGUGUUUUUUUAAAUUGAAGUUACAAAACUUUGAGGAAAAACACAGAUGCCUUUCUUUUGACGGAAAUAUUGAUAUUUUUAUAGUGAUCAGGUCAUGUACUGUGCUAUGGUUUUAUUUUAUUCCAGGUUGUUUAAAUUUAGCUGCUGAGAUAUCUCAAAGCUUGAGGACAGAAGCAUGAAAAACUGCACAUGUUGUGUGAAGUAACUGAUGAAACUAAUUGUGAAUAUAUCUGAUCUGGUUCAAUGAAUGACUUCCUAAUUUGAACAUUAGGAAGUCAUUCAUGGGAACAUUCCUAAUGUGCUGAUGGCAGCGUCACUAUACAGAAGUGCAAACCAGGAAGUUAAACACUUCUCUGCAUCAACACAAACUAAAUGCCUGAAUGAUAAAGAUAUGUGCAGGUCUACUAGUGCAUGUUUUAUGAGAAAUACUGUUAAAAUGUGAGGUAAUUUUAUUAAAAUAUCUGUGUUUUGUGAGAAGGUCCCAUAGAAACUGUAUAUUUUAGAUAUGAUCAUUGUCCAACAUCUUCCCAAUGAAAUGAAAACAGUUGUUUUAUGAUGCAACCUGAUACUACUAUUAAUAGUAGUAUCAGUAAUAGUAAUAUUUAGAGGGAUUGUUGAAGCUCACUGUGAACUAAACUAAACAUGAAUUAAACAAUGCAAACAAAUGUGUACUGAAUGAUCCCACCCUGGGAAAUAAAUAGGAAUAAAUAAAUGUGUAUCAUUGAUGAAAGUCAAAACUUUAAUAUUUUUGUUUA
Astatotilapia calliptera (eastern happy) is the source of this 1792-nucleotide long non-coding RNA. NCBI's taxonomy places the organism in Eukaryota, Metazoa, Chordata, Actinopteri, Cichliformes, Cichlidae. The record is from Ensembl.